ACGCUAGCGGCAGGCUUAACACAUGCAAGUCGAGGGGCAUCGCGGGUGGCAACACCUGGCGGCGACCGGCGAACGGGUGAGUAACGCGUGAGCAACAUGUCCUCAGUCGGGGGAUAAGCGAGGGAAACUUCGUCUAAUACCCCAUAACACUUUCAGGCGCAUGCCUUUAAGUUGAAAGCUUUUUUUGCGACUUUGGUUUGGCUCGCGUGACAUUAGCUAGUCGGUGGGGUAACGGCUCACCGAGGCUACGAUGUCUAGGGGUUCUGAGAGGAAGGCCCCCCACAUUGGGACUGGGACACGGCCCAAACUCCUACGGGAGGCAGCAGUGAGGAAUAUUGGUCAAUGGACGGAAGUCUGAACCAGCCAUGCCGCGUGAAGGAAGACUGCCCUAUGGGUUGUAAACUUCUUUUGCAGCAGAGCAAUAAGGCGUACGCGUACGCCGAUGAGAGUAUGUUGCGAAUAAGCAUCGGCUAACUCCGUGCCAGCAGCCGCGGUAAUACGGAGGAUGCGAGCGUUAUCCGGAUUUAUUGGGUUUAAAGGGUGCGUAGGCUGUUUUGUAAGUCAGCGGUGAAAGACCGGGGCCCAACUCCGGAAGUGCCGUUGAUACUGCAUUGCUAGAGUUCCC
This 625-nucleotide ribosomal RNA is filed under the name uncultured bacterium. Its description in RNAcentral is "bacterial SSU rRNA". It matches the Rfam family "Bacterial small subunit ribosomal RNA", at positions 33 to 651 of the family's 1533-position model. The record is from RNAcentral.